GAUGAACGCUAGCUACAGGCUUAACACAUGCAAGUCGAGGGGAAACGACAUCGAAAGCUUGCUUCCGAUAGGCGUCGACCGGCGCACGGGUGAGUAACGCGUAUCCAACCUGCCCACCACUUGGGAAUAACCUUGCGAAAGUAAGACUAAUGCCCAAUGAUAUCUCUAGAAGACAUCUGAAGGAGAUUAAAGAUUUAUCGGUGAUGGAUGGGGAUGCGUCUGAUUAGCUUGUUGGCGGGGUAACGGCCCACCAAGGCGACGAUCGGUAGGGGUUCUGAGAGGAAGGUCCCCCACAUUGGAACUGAGACACGGUCCAAACUCCUACGGGAGGCAGCAGUGAGGAAUAUUGGUCAAUGGGCGAGAGCCUGAACCAGCCAAGUAGCGUGCAGGAUGACGGCCCUAUGGGUUGUAAACUGCUUUUAUAAGGGAAUAAAGUUAGUCUCGUGAGACUUUUUGCAUGUACCUUAUGAAUAAGGACCGGCUAAUUCCGUGCCAGCCGCCGCCGUAA
RNAcentral lists this ribosomal RNA (508 nucleotides) under uncultured bacterium. RNAcentral describes it as "partial 16S ribosomal RNA". It matches the Rfam family "Bacterial small subunit ribosomal RNA", at positions 28 to 523 of the family's 1533-position model. The record is from RNAcentral.